Molecule: ribosomal RNA, 253 nt
Filed under: uncultured bacterium
Lineage: Bacteria
Description: partial 16S ribosomal RNA
Rfam family: Bacterial small subunit ribosomal RNA
Source: RNAcentral
UACGGAGGGUGCAAGCGUUAUCCGGAUUUACUGGGUUUAAAGGGUGUGUAGGCGGCUUUGUAAGUCAGGGGUGAAAUCCCGGGGCUCAACCCCGGAACUGCCUUUGAUACUAUAGAGCUUGAAUUAUGUUGAGGUUGGCGGAAUAUAACAUGUAGCGGUGAAAUGCAUAGAUAUGUUAUAGAACACCGAUUGCGAAGGCAGCUGACUAAGCAUAUAUUGACGCUGAGGCACGAAAGCGUGGGGAUCAAACAGG